CUGGGAGGACCAUCUCCUAAGGCUAAAUACUCUCUAGUGACCGAUAGUGAACCAGUACCGUGAGGGAAAGGUGAAAAGCACCCCGGAAGGGGAGUGAAAUAGAACCUGAAACCGUGUGCUUACAAGUAGUCAGAGCCCGUUAAUGGGUGAUGGCGUGCCUUUUGUAGAAUGAACCGGCGAGUUACGAUUUGAUGCAAGGUUAAGCAGUAAAUGUGGAGCCGUAGCGAAAGCGAGUCUGAAUAGGGCGUUUAGUAUUUGGUCGUAGACCCGAAACCAGGUGAUCUACCCUUGGUCAGGUUGAAGUUCAGGUAACACUGAAUGGAGGACCGAACCGACUUACGUUGAAAAGUGAGCGGAUGAACUGAGGGUAGCGGAGAAAUUCCAAUCGAACCUGGAGAUAGCUGGUUCUCUCCGAAAUAGCUUUAGGGCUAGCCUCAAGUGAUGAUUAUUGGAGGUAGAGCACUGUUUGGACGAGGGGCCCCUCUCGGGUUACCGAAUUCAGACAAACUCCGAAUGCCAAUUAAUUUAACUUGGGAGUCAGAACAUGGGUGAUAAGGUCCGUGUUCGAAAGGGAAACAGCCCAGACCACCAGCUAAGGUCCCAAAAUAUAUGUUAAGUGGAAAAGGAUGUGGCGUUGCCCAGACAACUAGGAUGUUGGCUUAGAAGCAGCCAUCAUUUAAAGAGUGCGUAAUAGCUCACUAGUCGAGUGACACUGCGCCGAAAAUGUACCGGGGCUAAACAUAUUACCGAAGCUGUGGAUUGUCCUUUGGACAAUGGUAGGAGAGCGUUCUAAGGGCGUUGAAGCAUGAUCGUAAGGACAUGUGGAGCGCUUAGAAGUGAGAAUGCCGGUGUGAGUAGCGAAAGACGGGUGAGAAUCCCGUCCACCGAUUGACUAAGGUUUCCAGAGGAAGGCUCGUCCGCUCUGGGUUAGUCGGGUCCUAAGCUGAGGCCGACAGGCGUAGGCGAUGGAUAACAGGUUGAUAUUCCUGUACCACCUAUA
This 1000-nucleotide ribosomal RNA is filed under the name Staphylococcus aureus. RNAcentral's name for it is "partial 23S ribosomal RNA". It matches the Rfam family "Bacterial large subunit ribosomal RNA", at positions 444 to 1452 of the family's 2925-position model. Lineage: Bacteria; Bacillati; Bacillota; Bacilli; Caryophanales; Staphylococcaceae. RNAcentral also lists the same sequence under 1 other name. The record is from RNAcentral.